GACGAACGCUGGCGGCGUGCUUAACACAUGCAAGUCGAACGGAAAGGCCCCUUUGGGGGUCCUCGAGUGGCGAACGGGUGAGUAACACGUGAGUAACCUGCCCUUGACUUCGGGAUAACUUCAGGAAACUGGGGCUAAUACCGGAUAGGAAUCCUUGCUGCAUGGUGGGGGUUGGAAAGCUUCGGCGGUUUUGGAUGGACUCGCGGCUUAUCAGCUUGUUGGUGGGGUAGUGGCUUACCAAGGCUUUGACGGGUAGCCGGCCUGAGAGGGCGACCGGCCACAUUGGGACUGAGAUACGGCCCAGACUCCGACGGGUGGCAGCAGUGGGGAAGAUUGCACAAUGGGCGGAAGCCUGAUGCAGCAACGCCGCGUGCGGGAUGACGGCCUUCGGGUUGUAAACCGCUUUCAGCAGGGGCGAAGCUUGUGGUGACGGUACCUGCAGAAGAAGCACCGGCUAACUACGUG
RNAcentral lists this ribosomal RNA (465 nucleotides) under uncultured bacterium. RNAcentral's name for it is "partial 16S ribosomal RNA". It matches the Rfam family "Bacterial small subunit ribosomal RNA", at positions 28 to 507 of the family's 1533-position model. The record is from RNAcentral.